RNAcentral lists this ribosomal RNA (432 nucleotides) under Coxiella burnetii. RNAcentral's name for it is "bacterial SSU rRNA". It matches the Rfam family "Bacterial small subunit ribosomal RNA", at positions 886 to 1317 of the family's 1533-position model. Lineage: Bacteria; Pseudomonadati; Pseudomonadota; Gammaproteobacteria; Legionellales; Coxiellaceae. The record is from RNAcentral.
CCGCAAGGUUAAAACUCAAAGAAAUUGACGGGGGCCCGCACAAGCGGUGGAGCAUGUGGUUUAAUUCGAUGCAACGCGAAAAACCUUACCUACCCUUGACAUCCUCGGAACUUGUCAGAGAUGAUUUGGUGCCUUCGGGAACCGAGUGACAGGUGCUGCAUGGCUGUCGUCAGCUCGUGUCGUGAGAUGUUGGGUUAAGUCCCGUAACGAGCGCAACCCUCGUCCUUAGUUGCCAGCGAGUCAAGUCGGGAACUCUAAGGAGACUGCCGGUGAUAAACCGGAGGAAGGUGGGGAUGAUGUCAAGUCAUCAUGGCCCUUACGGGUAGGGCUACACACGUGCUACAAUGGGCAGUACAAAGGGUUGCCAAGCCGCGAGGUGGAGCUAAUCCCAGAAAACUGCUCGUAGUCCGGAUUGGAGUCUGCAACUCGACU